CUACAGGCUUAACACAUGCAAGUCGAGGGGCAUCAGGAAGAAAGCUUGCUUUCUUUGCUGGCGACCGGCGCACGGGUGAGUAACACGUAUCCAACCUGCCCUUUACUCGGGGAUAGCCUUUCGAAAGAAAGAUUAAUACCCGAUAGCAUAAUGAUUCCGCAUGGUUUCAUUAUUAAAGGAUUCCGGUAAAGGAUGGGGAUGCGUUCCAUUAGGUUGUUGGUGAGGUAACGGCCCACCAAGCCUUCGAUGGAUAGGGGUUCUGAGAGGAAGGUCCCCCACAUUGGAACUGAGACACGGUCCAAACUCCUACGGGAGGCAGCAGUGAGGAAUAUUGGUCAAUGGGCGCUAGCCUGAACCAGCCAAGUAGCGUGAAGGAUGAAGGCUCUAUGGGUCGUAAACUUCUUUUAUAUAAGAAUAAAGUGCAGUAUGUAUACUGUUUUGUAUGUAUUAUAUGAAUAAGGAUCGGCUAACUCCGUGCCAGCAGCCGCGGUAAUACGGAGGAUCCGAGCGUUAUCCGGAUUUAUUGGGUUUAAAGGGAGCGUAGGUGGACUGGUAAGUCAGUUGUGAAAGUUUGCGGCUCAACCGUAAAAUUGCAGUUGAUACUGUCAGUCUUGAGUACAGUAGAGGUGGGCGGAAUUCGUGGUGUAGCGGUGAAAUGCUUAGAUAUCACGAAGAACUCCGAUUGCGAAGGCAGCUCACUGGACUGCAACUGACACUGAUGCUCGAAAGUGUGGGUAUCAAACAGGAUUAGAUACCCUGGUAGUCCACACAGUAAACGAUGAAUACUCGCUGUUUGCGAUAUACAGUAAGCGGCCAAGCGAAAGCAUUAAGUAUUCCACCUGGGGAGUACGCCGGCAACGGUGAAACUCAAAGGAAUUGACGGGGGCCCGCACAAGCGGAGGAACAUGUGGUUUAAUUCGAUGAUACGCGAGGAACCUUACCCGGGCUUAAAUUGCAGUGGAAUGAUGUGGAAACAUGUCAGUGAGCAAUCACCGCUGUGAAGGUGCUGCAUGGUUGUCGUCAGCUCGUGCCGUGAGGUGUCGGCUUAAGUGCCAUAACGAGCGCAACCCUUAUCUUUAGUUACUAACAGGUUAUGCUGAGGACUCUGGAGAGACUGCCGUCGUAAGAUGUGAGGAAGGCGGGGAUGACGUCAAAUCAGCACGGCCCUUACGUCCGGGGCUACACACGUGUUACAAUGGGGGGUACAGAAGGCAGCUACCUGGUGACAGGAUGCUAAUCCCAAAAGCCUCUCUCAGUUCGGAUCGAAGUCUGCAACCCGACUUCGUGAAGCUGGAUUCGCUAGUAAUCGCGCAUUAGCCACGGCGCGGUGAAUACGUUCCCGGGCCUUGUACACACCGCCCGUCAAGCCAUGGGAGCCGGGGGUACCUGAAGUACGUAACCGCAAGGAUCGUCCUAGGGUAAAACUGGUGACUGGGGCUAAGUCG
RNAcentral lists this ribosomal RNA (1445 nucleotides) under uncultured organism. Its description in RNAcentral is "SSU rRNA". It matches the Rfam family "Bacterial small subunit ribosomal RNA". The record is from RNAcentral.